UAAAGCGGGUGAAAAGCCCGCUCGCCGGAAGACCAAGGGUUCCUGUCCAACGUUAAUCGGGGCAGGGUGAGUCGACCCCUAAGGCGAGGCCGAAAGGCGUAGUCGAUGGGAAACAGGUUAAUAUUCCUGUACUUGGUGUUACUGCGAAGGGGGGACGGAGAAGGCUAUGUUGGCCGGGCGACGGUUGUCCCGGUUUAAGCGUGUAGGCUGGUUUUCCAGGCAAAUCCGGAAAAUCAAGGCUG
This 242-nucleotide ribosomal RNA is filed under the name Salmonella enterica subsp. enterica serovar Kentucky. RNAcentral's name for it is "partial 23S ribosomal RNA". It matches the Rfam family "Bacterial large subunit ribosomal RNA", at positions 1313 to 1558 of the family's 2925-position model. The record is from RNAcentral. Lineage: Bacteria; Pseudomonadati; Pseudomonadota; Gammaproteobacteria; Enterobacterales; Enterobacteriaceae.